CUGCUCACGUUGGCAGCACAUAAACUAAAAUUGGAAUGAUACAGAGAAGAUUAGCAUGGCCCCUGAGCACGGAUGACAGACAAAUUUGUGAAGCAUUCCAUAUUUAA
Molecule: small nuclear RNA, 107 nt
Filed under: Aotus nancymaae (Ma's night monkey)
Lineage: Eukaryota; Metazoa; Chordata; Mammalia; Primates; Aotidae
Source: RNAcentral